AUGGAUAGGAAGAAGAAACAAUGGUGCUUUAAGCCAUUUAGCCUCACUGAUUCAGGAGAGAGGGGGCAACAAGAAGAAAAUGUUGAUUUUCUGCCUAGAACAAUAAAUAGUCAGCUCUCCCUGUCAGCUGUAUUAGUUGCUUUAAUGCAAGUACCUGUUCCAUCAGAUGACCUUGCUUCACUAAUGCCUGUGGUCUGCAACAAGCUACAGUAUUAAAGCUGUAAACCUGGCCAAGUCUGAGUGUAUGUCAGAUUUACACAGCCUUGUCAAAACCAUAAAGUUAACAGGCUGGAGAAGAAGAAAUCUUCAUACCUGCAUAAUCUUGCUAUGUGGAGAUCUGACAGAGUAGAAAACAAUACUUACAUUAACAGACAUUAUUUUUGCUGAGACUGUCUCUUUAAUAAUUAAUUCCAGCUGAUAGAAGAAGGCAUUCCAAGCCUGGAACCAUCUUUCUUGUACUCAGGUCUGCUGUCAUUACUUUUCUCUUGAUGUUGGAUUACGGAGUAGUUAAAAAUUGGAAAGAAAUAAAAAAUGGUAAAAGAGCCA
This 546-nucleotide long non-coding RNA is filed under the name Numida meleagris (helmeted guineafowl). Its description in RNAcentral is "lncRNA (ENSNMEG00000010142.1)". The record is from RNAcentral. Lineage: Eukaryota; Metazoa; Chordata; Aves; Galliformes; Numididae.